AGGACGAACGCUGGCGGCGUGCUUAACACAUGCAAGUCGAGCGAGGGCCAUCCAGUGGCAACACUGGUGAAGCCCGAGCGGCGAACGGGUGAGUAACACGUGAGGAACCUGCCCCAGACUCUGGGAUAACUCGGGGAAACCCGAGCUAAUACCGGAUACCGUCUCCUUUGGGCAUCCUUUGGAGACGAAAGAAUUUCGGUUUGGGAGGGCCUCGCGGCCUAUCAGCUUGUUGGUGAGGUAAUGGCUCACCAAGGCGGUGACGGGUA
RNAcentral lists this ribosomal RNA (266 nucleotides) under uncultured bacterium. RNAcentral's name for it is "partial small subunit ribosomal RNA". It matches the Rfam family "Bacterial small subunit ribosomal RNA", at positions 26 to 285 of the family's 1533-position model. The record is from RNAcentral.